AACCUGGUUGAUCCUGCCAGUAGUCAUAUGCUUGUCUCAAAGACUAAGCCAUGCAUGUCUAAGUAUAAGUAUUAUACAGCGAAACUGCGAAUGGCUCAUUAAAACAGUUAUAAUUUAUUUGAUAAUCGAAUUUACAUGGAUAACCGUGGUAAUUCUAGAGCUAAUACAUGCUGGUAGGCCCGACUUUUUGGAAGGGCGGUAUUUAUUAGAUAACAAACCAAUAUUCCUCUGGUCUAUUGUGGUGAAUCAUAAUAACUGAUCGAAUCGCAAGGUUUUUAACCGCGAUAAGUCAUUCAAGUUUCUGCCCCAUCAGCUUUCGAUGGUAGUGUAUUGGACUACCAUGGCUUUUACGGGUAACGGAGGAUUAGGGUUCGAUUCCGGAGAGGGGGCCUGAGAAACGGCUACCACAUCUAAGGAAGGCAGCAGGCGCGUAAAUUACCCAAUCCUGACUCAGGGAGGUAGUGACAAGAAAUAACGGACCGA
Molecule: ribosomal RNA, 483 nt
Filed under: uncultured marine eukaryote
Lineage: Eukaryota
Description: SSU rRNA
Rfam family: Eukaryotic small subunit ribosomal RNA
Source: RNAcentral